RNAcentral lists this long non-coding RNA (209 nucleotides) under Physcomitrium patens. Its description in RNAcentral is "long non-coding RNA (PPAT_LNC009264)". The record is from RNAcentral. Lineage: Eukaryota; Viridiplantae; Streptophyta; Bryopsida; Funariales; Funariaceae.
UCAGUUGCACAUAUGAUGAAUGAGAUAAACAAGGUAUUAAGAGACUUCAUUUCUGAAAAAACUAUGUCUUUUUUAGAUGAUGUUUCUAUCAAAGGAUGUAAAGAAGGAGAAAAAGAUGAAACUUUAGAUGAGAAAGGGUGUCGCAAAUAUGUUGUUGAUCAUAUACAAGAUUGUGAAAAGAUUUUAACUCGACUUGAAGAGGUUCAUCU